ACGAACGCUGGCGGCGUGCUUAACACAUGCAAGUCGAACGGUGAAGCCCUUUCGGGGUGGAUCAGUGGCGAACGGGUGAGUAACACGUGAGCAACCUGCCCCUGACUCUGGGAUAACAGUUGGAAACAGCUGCUAAUACCGGAUACGAGACGGAGAGGCAUCUCUACCGUCUGGAAAGUUUUUCGGUCUGGGAUGGACUCGCGGCCUAUCAGCUUGUUGGUGAGGUAAUGGCUCACCAAGGCGACGACGGGUAGCCGGCCUGAGAGGGCGACCGGCCACACUGGGACUGAGACACGGCCCAGACUCCUACGGGAGGCAGCAGUGGGGAAUAUUGCACAAUGGGCGAAAGCCUGAUGCAGCGACGCCGCGUGAGGGAUGACGGCCUUCGGGUUGUAAACCUCUUUCAGUAGGGAAGAAGCGAAAGUGACGGUACCUACAAAAGAAGCACCGGCUAACUACGUGCCAGCAGCCGCGGUAAUACGUAGGGUGUGAGCGUUGUCCGGAAUUAUUGGGCGUAAAGAGCUUGUAGGCGGUUUGUCGCGUCUGCUGUGAAAAUCCGGGGCUCAACCCCGGACUUGCAGUGGGUACGGGCAGACUAGAGUAUGGUAGGGGAGACUGGAAUUCCUGGUGUAGCGGUGGAAUGCGCAGAUAUCAGGAGGAACACCGAUGGCGAAGGCAGGUCUCUGGGCCAUAACUGACGCUGAGAAGCGAAAGCAUGGGGAGCAAACAGGAUUAGAUACCCUGGUAGUCCAUGCCGUAAACGUUGGGCGCUAGGUGUGGGACUCAUUCCAC
RNAcentral lists this ribosomal RNA (792 nucleotides) under uncultured bacterium. RNAcentral's name for it is "bacterial SSU rRNA". It matches the Rfam family "Bacterial small subunit ribosomal RNA", at positions 29 to 844 of the family's 1533-position model. The record is from RNAcentral.